RNAcentral lists this ribosomal RNA (447 nucleotides) under uncultured bacterium. Its description in RNAcentral is "bacterial SSU rRNA". It matches the Rfam family "Bacterial small subunit ribosomal RNA", at positions 34 to 498 of the family's 1533-position model. The record is from RNAcentral.
CGCUGGCGGCGUGCUUAACACAUGCAAGUCGAACGAUGAACCACUUCGGUGGGGAUUAGUGGCGAACGGGUGAGUAACACGUGGGCAAUCUGCCCUUCACUCUGGGACAAGCCCUGGAAACGGGGUCUAAUACCGGAUAACACUUCCACUCUCCUGGGUGGAGGUUAAAAGCUCCGGCGGUGAAGGAUGAGCCCGCGGCCUAUCAGCUUGUUGGUGAGGUAAUGGCUCACCAAGGCGACGACGGGUAGCCGGCCUGAGAGGGCGACCGGCCACACUGGGACUGAGACACGGCCCAGACUCCUACGGGAGGCAGCAGUGGGGAAUAUUGCACAAUGGGCGAAAGCCUGAUGCAGCGACGCCGCGUGAGGGAUGACGGCCUUCGGGUUGUAAACCUCUUUCAGCAGGGAAGAAGCGAAAGUGACGGUACCUGCAGAAGAAGCGCCGGCU